RNAcentral lists this ribosomal RNA (663 nucleotides) under uncultured Actinomycetes bacterium. RNAcentral describes it as "bacterial SSU rRNA". It matches the Rfam family "Bacterial small subunit ribosomal RNA", at positions 232 to 885 of the family's 1533-position model. Lineage: Bacteria; Bacillati; Actinomycetota; Actinomycetes. The record is from RNAcentral.
CGCGGCCUAUCAGCUUGUUGGUGAGGUAACGGCUCACCAAGGCAACGAUGGGUAGCUGGUCUGAGAGGAUGGUCAGCCACAUUGGGACUGAGACACUGCCCAAACUCCUACGGGAGGCUGCAGUCGAGAAUAUUUCGCAAUGGGGGAAACCCUGACGAUGCGACGCCGCGUGGGGGAUGAAGGCCUUCGGGUCGUAAACCUCUGUGUUACGGGAUGAAUUGAGCGUUGCUGAUAACGCAGCGUUUUUGACGUUACCGUAGUAGAAAGUCCCAGCUAACUACGUGCCAGCAGCUGCGGUAAUACGUAGGGGGCAAGCGUUGUCCGGAAUCACUGGGCGUAAAGCGCGCGCAGGCGGUGGAGUAAGUCAGACGUGAAAGGGUUCGGCUCAACCGAGCCAUUGCGUUUGAUACUGCUUCACUUGAGUCUAGAAGAGGAAAGUGGAAUGUAUGGUGUAGCGGUGGAAUGCUUAGAUAUCAUAUAGAACACCCGUGGCGAAGGCGGCUUUCUGGUCUAAGACUGACGCUCAUGCGCGAAAGUUUGGGGAGCAACCGGGAUUAGAUACCCCGCUAGUCCUUACUGUAAACGAUGGGUAUUAAGUGUAGGGGGUGUUGAUUCCCUCUGUGCUGUAGCUAACGCAUUAAGUACCCCGCCUGGGGAGUACGG